This 465-nucleotide ribosomal RNA is filed under the name Vreelandella stevensii. RNAcentral describes it as "partial 16S ribosomal RNA". It matches the Rfam family "Bacterial small subunit ribosomal RNA", at positions 338 to 795 of the family's 1533-position model. The record is from RNAcentral. Lineage: Bacteria; Pseudomonadati; Pseudomonadota; Gammaproteobacteria; Oceanospirillales; Halomonadaceae.
CCUACGGGGGGCAGCAGUGGGGAAUAUUGGACAAUGGGGGCAACCCUGAUCCAGCCAUGCCGCGUGUGUGAAGAAGGCCCUCGGGUUGUAAAGCACUUUCAGUGAGGAAGAACGCCUGGUGGUUAAUACCCAUCAGGAAAGACAUCACUCACAGAAGAAGCACCGGCUAACUCCGUGCCAGCAGCCGCGGUAAUACGGAGGGUGCGAGCGUUAAUCGGAAUUACUGGGCGUAAAGCGCGCGUAGGUGGCUUGAUAAGCCGGUUGUGAAAGCCCCGGGCUCAACCUGGGAACGGCAUCCGGAACUGUCAAGCUAGAGUGCAGGAGAGGAAGGUAGAAUUCCCGGUGUAGCGGUGAAAUGCGUAGAGAUCGGGAGGAAUACCAGUGGCGAAGGCGGCCUUCUGGACUGACACUGACACUGAGGUGCGAAAGCGUGGGUAGCAAACAGGAUUAGAUACCUCAGUAGUC